GAACGUGGGCAGACCGGGGUUAAUUUUAAGCCUCUUCCCUUCGGUCUCUCUUCGUUCUUUGCGUCGCCGCCGCCGCCGCCGCGUUCCUCGCGCUCGAGCUGCCGCGCUCCUCGAGGUUGAUCCGCCGCGCUCUCGGGGAUCGAGCUGGCAGCGGGUGACGGCAGGGGUGGAGAGGGAAGCGAGGAAGAGUCGUGCCCGUUUUACCGCCUGUCUCUGCCCCUAAUCCCAAAAUACGGCGGUGGUGGAGGUGGAGGCGGGUCGGGACGAGGCUGCGGACGGAGGAGGCGGCCCGGACGUGCGUAAGAGGGACCUGCCCGAGUUCAGACAGUGCUAUUGGAGAGGUAGAGGUAGAGCGGGGCUGCGAGGAGACGAAGGUCAGCGACGGCCGGGACAGGGUAGCGAUGUAACGACUAUGAACGUAACUGGCAAACCUCGACGAUCGAACAAACUUCCGAAGAAGGAGUUCUUCUCAAUGACAUGAACCUCAAACACGUGGACCAUGACUGAGAAUAGAUGCAAAGAAACCUGGACUGUGUGGUCUGCUAGAACAAGCAUAGACUGUCGACCAGGGUUUAAACUCUAACAAACUCGUCCCUCUGAGUUUAGUUUAAACCCAGAAUGUAUCGGAAGAAGUCGAGUAUCGUAAAAUACACUUCCGCACACCAACCAAAAGUCUUGGUUAUAGUCCUCGUCAUAAUACCUUAGGUUGUCUCUUCUCCGGCAGUUCCGAUCCCUUUAACGAAAUUUUUUCAAUCUUUCGUUUCUGAAACAACCACGAUUUUCCUAACGUGACUUUCGUGUUUCCUAAAAAGGUCUUGAACUUUUGAAUAGAGUCGACAACUGACAGACGCUUCACGUAACACGUCGUCUCCGUUUCUAGUUACUCAACAACCUGAAGAUGCCCUAAGAGGUUCACCUACAUUGCCGACUACUCCGUUGGUAUUUCUUCGUCAUGGCCUUCGAACGGAAAAGUGAGGUGGGACUAUUUUUAUCAAUGGGACCACGUCUUCGACGAAAAUUUAACCAUCGUCUUCGAGUGAGUUGUAACAGACUAGCUUGUUUUUUUGGACGUAUACUGUAGUUCACCUCCCAACGAAGAUCUUAACGUGGUUUCGUCCCAAGUCUUGAUUUCGUCCGGUGUCCUGGUUUCGUUCCACGGGUUGGUUUCGUCCGAUGGGUUAGUUUCUUCCGUCGUUAUGGGUUCGUCCGUUGUCAUGGCUUCGUCCGCCGUCAUGGUUUCGUCCGUGGGUAUGGUUUCGUCCGCUGUCAUGGUUUCGUCCGUGGGUAUGGUUUCGUCCGCCGUCAUGGUUUCGUCUGUCGAUGUCUUGUCUACUUCUUUGGACCACGUUUAUCUUCAUCACAUCGUCCUCCACUUGGUGGUCAAGGUAGUUGGUGACAACCUGUCCGUUAUACCUGGUAUACGUAAGUGACAUCUUGUUCUAUAGUCAUGAUGUCACCGCAUGAUUUAGUAGCGUAGGCGACAGUCUUGACGUCAUUUAUAAAACAACGAAGAUUCGACUUACGUGUACUACACGGAAGACAUAAGUGUAGUUUAAGGUAGUUUCCACAACCUGUUGUCUCACCAAAAGGGUCAGUUGGUCUGACAAGAUGUUUCAAGAGAGGAUCCAACUUACCACUACGAUUCGGGAACUUACCUCGUGUUUGACGACUUGUAUACUUCUCACGGUCUCGCCCACCACUCCUCUUCAAAUUGGUACGUCCCCGUCCACCCUUUUCGCCCCAACUUAAAAGUUGUCCCUUAUACAGAUUUAGAAGACGUGGUUCACGUUCACUGUUCCGUCCACCUUCUUACCGUAGACUGGGACGACCAGGUCUACAACGAAUAUCAUUUUUGGGUACGUCAUCCCAUCAUCUAUGUGGUCGUCUCGGUCCACGAUGACCGUCGGGAUCAGGGGCCUCUAGGCGAUCCUCUUUCCGUUUGGUACUACGGUCAUGGGGCCAAGGGGGAUCGUUUUUCUCCGCUUGUGAUUUUCUGACCAAAAGUUUACGACUGUGAUCAACAUUCUUUUACAAACUACUGUUACAACGAGCACGACUACCUUUUUGACCACUUCGAGUACAGGGAUCGUUUCGUGUGUUACUUCUCUCUCCUUCGUGACGGUUUCUUCCCUUGGUCCUUUCACAAUUCUUUCUUAAAUGUACACUACGUAGACGACGCUUCCUAGGAACGCUAAGACGUGUUAAUUGGAUGGGACUGGGUCUUAAAAAACUGAAACUAUUUCCGUCCCUACACUUAAACAAACGUCAACUAGUCUAAACCCGUCAAAUACUACUGGCGCUACCGUACGGUGCUAUAAUACGAGCUUAUUUCGUACAUCUACGAUGGUUUAGGUGAUAAGCCAUGUGAACCGACCUCGUAUUCCGUCAAUUACUACUUCUUCUGUCUACCUGCCUAUUUCUUGACGGACAACGAACACCCUUCAAAUUAAAUCCUUUUUGCCUCCAUAGUGUUCCACGGGAGUACAAAAGAGUAUGACAACAAGGUACCCACUACCCGUUUUCUCCCACACGGAUGCUUUAUAUAGGGUCCUUCCCACUCCAUACCCGAGAAAUAUUCCCAACCUCAUACGUCACCACAAGUCUACGUCUAUUGGUAUUUUGUAUGCUCAUGCUGCAACACCUCCAAGACAGUCUGAAGUGUUACCUUCCACCUCGACGACAAAAAGGGAACCAGUUCUAAUUCCCCAAACAGUCAGAUAAACCUUUUCGUUAACUGUCUAGUAGAAAACAAUAUGGUAGAUCACUUGACGAAGCUAAAAGCGUGUUAUAGGGUAAAAUAUCCUGUUUUCCUUUACUUUUCCGACCACACCGUCCACCCAAAGAACUUGAUCUAUGGCAUAGUGAAGGAUCAUUGGACCUGCGUAGCAAAGGUAGUCAAUGAUAGCUGUUCUGUUAAUCGUCACCAAAGUAACUACGGUCACUAUAAUCAUGUGGUCCAGGACCUUUACUUGGUUCACGAGUUUUCCUUUUAGUCGUUUCACCUCCUUUUGCCUAUCUACUAAGGGAACUUGUUUGGGGUUCUGUCUUUGUCUUUCCGCCGUGACGCUCACACGGACCAAGAAGAAGAGUCGAUAAGGCGAGGAGAGGUUCAUGAUAACGUUGUAUAGGUCUAAGUCUCAAAAUAUUGAAACUUCUUCCCGCUAGUAUAUUGUUCAAACUUGCACCGGUCUAUACCCGAGAAAUGUCGCUAGAACUGUUUAAAGGGUUCAUAAUGCCGACCCACUGGUUUCAACUAUACCUUGGCAAGUCUAACGUAAAUUGAACCGAGCUUCGCACAGGAGUUGACCUCGUUCUCUUCUACACCAACUUCGCACUAUAUGGACACUCGACACCCUGUAAAUUCGAGGCGUUGACCUCCUAGUUCAUACUAAGUUUACUGCGUAAGAGAGUAAAUCAUCUUUGAUCGGUUCAAUUACCCGUUGCAAAACUUUAAGUGGGCGCUCAUCCACUUUAAACCCGGUAAAUGUUGUUGCUGACCCGUGGACUGACCCAAGGAAGGUCACUACUACGCACACUUAUACGGCAGCCACUCUAAUGACUCGCGUGACUUCGAUCGUGCUUCAAGAGCAAAGACUGAGGUCAUCUGCCAAUGUGUCGACACAAGUCCAAACUGUUACUUUCCCCAUAAGACCUCUAAGGACGUUUACUCUUGAACUCCAAAAGAGUGGUAUAUGGAAGAAUGGCAGACUGCCUUCUUUUUUCACCGUGCGAGGCACCGAAGAUACUCGAUCUAGGUCGAAGACAAGGACUACGAAAGGACCAGGCUCCCCCGUGGACGACUGGCUGACUGAACCUUCGAUUGUAAUUUAAUGAAGGUUAGUUCAGUUCAUCAGUAGACCAACGAUGACACUAGACCAAUACUUAGAGUGAAACUUUCACAAUAGACGUCCCCUCUCGUUUGCUAGUCAAUCCGAGAGACAUAAAGAUCUACAAAAUGGCAUGAAGAUCACGAACCCGCAUAAAACCGGUAAAGACAACACCUGGAAUACAUUCGAUCCACACCUGGAAGACUUUCGAUCCACACCUGGAAUACUUUCUGACCCUUUUUUCCCUUGAACUACCAACAAUCAAACCUAGUCCUAAGACGAAUGGCAACACAACACACGAUAGACGCGCGUACGUAAUAAGACCAAACACAAGUCCAAAAGCC
RNAcentral lists this ribosomal RNA (4171 nucleotides) under Triticum aestivum (bread wheat). RNAcentral describes it as "partial small subunit ribosomal RNA". Lineage: Eukaryota; Viridiplantae; Streptophyta; Magnoliopsida; Poales; Poaceae. The record is from RNAcentral.